CCUACGGGUGGCUGCAGUGGGGAAUAUUGCACAAUGGGGGAAACCCUGAUGCAGCGACGCCGCGUGAGUGAAGAAGUAAUUCGUUACGUAAAGCUCUAUCAGCAGGGAAGAAACACUGACCUUACGGUCAGCAGACGGUACCUGAGUAAGAAGCCCCGUCUACCUACGUGCCAGCAGCCGCGGUAAUACGUGGGGGGCAAGCGUUAUCCGGAUUUACUGGGUGUAAAGGGAGCGUAGACGGGUAUGCAAGUCUGGAGUGAAAGCCCAAGGAUCAACCAUGGGAGUGCUUUGGAAACUGUAAAACUUGAGUGCAGGAGAGGUAAGCGGAAUGCGUAGUGUAGCGGUGAAAUGCGUAGAUAUUAGGAGGAACACCGGUGGCGAAGGCGGCUUACUGGACUGUAACUGACGUUGAGGCUCGAAGGCGUGGGGAGCAAACAGGAUUAGAUACCCGUGUAGUC
Molecule: ribosomal RNA, 458 nt
Filed under: uncultured bacterium
Lineage: Bacteria
Description: partial 16S ribosomal RNA
Rfam family: Bacterial small subunit ribosomal RNA
Source: RNAcentral